AGAGCAGCAUGUAGCAGGCCCCCGUGGAGGAUUAACACAGUGGCUCAACACCGGGAAGGAACUGGCUCUUGGAGUCCGGACAUCUGAAACUUGAUCUAGAGAACACAUGCAAAUUUGUUACAUGGGAAUAUUGUGUAGUGCUGAGGUCUGGAGUAUGGAUUCCAUCACCCAGAAUUAACAAGCCAACAUCAGUCUCCAGAGUGAAUCCAAGGAGAGGACCCAAGACAUUCAUGUUCUGUGAUGUGGUGACAUGUUACCUGUCAUCUCUGAUGCACAACUCCUAAAGUGUUUGCAUCUGGGGCAGUUGUACAGAUUGCAGAAGCUAAUACUCAAGAUGUUCUCCAAGGCCAACUACUCAUCAGUUUAUUCAUGUUUCUGGGAUUGGAUUCAUGAACUCAUCCUUUGAACUAUUUCAACAAGCUUUUUCAUGUAACUAAUCUGCGGAAGGUAGAAAGGGUAAAACUGUUGGGUGCUAAAAUGACAACUGGUUCAAGGUACAACGGCGAAUAUUUUUAUUUCUGCAACUUUUCUUAGAGGUUGGAAACUGGACUAGGCAGGAAGAUUCCGUUUUGUAAGAUUAGUCUCCAGUUUUCAUCAAGCAGUUUAGUGGGGUAUUUUAGACCCAGUUCCCUCUCCACAGUCCCCAAAGUUCUUCUGUUAACUUUAAAUCAGCAAAGAGAGAGAUCUCUGCCAAGCAUCAACUGCAAGAGCAUGUGGGUCAAAGUUACCAGCAGACACUCAAAGCACAUUCACUUUACUUCAACACUGCUUUAUAAAUUAUCUUAGAGAUGUUGUCAAGGUUGGUAUCAGAGGUGAGUGGUCAUGACUUCACGAUUUCUCAUCUUUCUGAAUGCACAGCGGCUGGGAGGUGGUGGCUCAUGCCUGUAAUCCCAGCACUUUGGGAGGCCGAGGUGGGCAGAUU
Molecule: long non-coding RNA, 922 nt
Filed under: Pongo abelii (Sumatran orangutan)
Lineage: Eukaryota; Metazoa; Chordata; Mammalia; Primates; Hominidae
Description: lincRNA
Source: RNAcentral